UGCGGGGUGGAGCAGCUCGGUAGCUCGUCGGGCUCAUAACCCGAAGGUCAUCGGUUCAAAUCCGGUCCCCGCUA
RNAcentral lists this transfer RNA (74 nucleotides) under Desulfocurvibacter africanus subsp. africanus str. Walvis Bay. Its description in RNAcentral is "Desulfovibrio africanus str. Walvis Bay tRNA". It matches the Rfam family "tRNA". From Rfam's summary of the family: Transfer RNA (tRNA) molecules are approximately 80 nucleotides in length. Their secondary structure includes four short double-helical elements and three loops (D, anti-codon, and T loops). Lineage: Bacteria; Pseudomonadati; Thermodesulfobacteriota; Desulfovibrionia; Desulfovibrionales; Desulfovibrionaceae. The record is from Rfam by way of RNAcentral.